This 61-nucleotide transfer RNA is filed under the name Pseudoniphargus sp. 1-Portugal. Its description in RNAcentral is "tRNA-Ala". Lineage: Eukaryota; Metazoa; Arthropoda; Malacostraca; Amphipoda; Allocrangonyctidae. The record is from RNAcentral.
AGAGUUAUAGUUUAUUUAAAACAUUUAGCCUGCAACUAAAAAAUACUUAUAGUUAACCCUU